GGAAGAGUGAGUACAAAUGGGGUUUAGAGAGUGAUUGGUUCCUGAGAAAGAGCUUUUCCUUUUUUUCCCUCUUUGGUGAUAGAGAAGUGCGUUGAAUAGGAGAUCAGUGCGUACAACGCAGCUGCAGCAGGAGGAAACUCUAGAUUUGUACUUUUGCUCUCACUGCUGCAGAAAUCAGCGUUGCACCAAAAUGACCGGGGUUGUUCACGAACAGAACCUUGAGAAGCAG
This 229-nucleotide long non-coding RNA is filed under the name Linum usitatissimum (flax). Its description in RNAcentral is "long non-coding RNA (LUSI_LNC000526)". The record is from RNAcentral. Lineage: Eukaryota; Viridiplantae; Streptophyta; Magnoliopsida; Malpighiales; Linaceae.